GGCCACCCUGCAGUGGGCAAAGAGACACCCUGUUGGUGGUGGUGUUCUUAUAUCAGUCAGGGGCUGGGCAGAUGGAAGUCCUUUGUCCAUACUAGCUUGAUGCCUGGUUAGAUAGACAGUUAUUUUAUGCCUAGGACACAUAA
This 143-nucleotide small nucleolar RNA is filed under the name Meriones unguiculatus (Mongolian gerbil). RNAcentral describes it as "Small nucleolar RNA SNORA48 (ENSMUGG00000007393.1)". It matches the Rfam family "Small nucleolar RNA SNORA48". Rfam says of the family: The snoRNA ACA 48 has been identified to guide pseudouridylation of the residue U3797 in the 28S rRNA subunit. Its host gene EIF4A1 (eukaryotic translation initiation factor 4A1) is shared with U67 and snoRNA mgU6-77 Lineage: Eukaryota; Metazoa; Chordata; Mammalia; Rodentia; Muridae. The record is from RNAcentral.